UACGAGUUUGAUCCUGGCUCAGAUUGAACGCUGGCGGCAUGCAUAACACAUGCAAGUCGAACGCGAAAGUCCUUCGGGCGAGUAGAGUGGCGGACGGGUGAGUAACGCGUGGGAAUCUACCCUAGAGCGGGGGACAACCCGGGGAAACCCGGGCUAAUACCGCAUACGUCCUACGGGAGAAAGAGGGCCUCUGCUUGCACGCUCUCACUCCAGGAUGAGCCCACGUCCGAUUAGCUAGUUGGUAGGGUAAAGGCCUACCAAGGCCACGAUCGGUAGCUGGUCUGAGAGGAUGAUCAGCCACACUGGGACUGAGACACGGCCCAGACUCCUACGGGAGGCAGCAGUGGGGAAUAUUGGACAAUGGGCGCAAGCCUGAUCCAGCAAUGCCGCGUGUGUGAAGAAGGCCCUUGGGUUGUAAAGCACUUUCAAUUGGGAAGAAAGGUUAGCGUGUUAAUAGCACGUAGCUGUGACGUUACCUUUAGAGGAAGCACCGGCUAACUCCGUG
This 505-nucleotide ribosomal RNA is filed under the name uncultured bacterium. Its description in RNAcentral is "bacterial SSU rRNA". It matches the Rfam family "Bacterial small subunit ribosomal RNA", at positions 1 to 507 of the family's 1533-position model. The record is from RNAcentral.